This 255-nucleotide ribosomal RNA is filed under the name Staphylococcus epidermidis. RNAcentral's name for it is "partial 23S ribosomal RNA". It matches the Rfam family "Bacterial large subunit ribosomal RNA", at positions 146 to 394 of the family's 2925-position model. The record is from RNAcentral. Lineage: Bacteria; Bacillati; Bacillota; Bacilli; Caryophanales; Staphylococcaceae.
UGUUAUCGACAUGUGAAUUCAUAGCAUGUCAGAAGGCAGACCCGGAGAACUGAAACAUCUUAGUACCCGGAGGAAGAGAAAGAAAAAUCGAUUCCCUGAGUAGCGGCGAGCGAAACGGGAAAAGCCCAAACCAACAAGCUUGCUUGUUGGGGUUGUAGGACACUCUAUACGGAGUUACAAAAGAACAUGUUAGACGAAUCAUCUGGAAAGAUGAAUCAAAGAAGGUAAUAAUCCUGUAGUCGAAAACAUAGUCGA